CCUGUUCCCAUUCCGAACACAGAAGUUAAGCUCACUCGUGCCCAAGAUAGUUCGCUGGAAACGGCGCGUGAAAAUAGGUAGUCGCCGACU
Faecalibacterium sp. CAG:82-related_59_9 is the source of this 90-nucleotide non-coding RNA. Lineage: Bacteria; Bacillati; Bacillota; Clostridia; Eubacteriales; Oscillospiraceae. The record is from Rfam.